RNAcentral lists this ribosomal RNA (253 nucleotides) under uncultured bacterium. RNAcentral's name for it is "partial 16S ribosomal RNA". It matches the Rfam family "Bacterial small subunit ribosomal RNA", at positions 524 to 776 of the family's 1533-position model. The record is from RNAcentral.
UACAGAGGGUGCGAGCGUUGUCCGGAAUCAUUGGGCGUAAAGGGCGCGUAGGCGGGAUGGCAAGUCGGUCGUGAAAUCCCUCGGCCCAACUGAGGAUCGUCGAUCGAUACUGCCGUUCUUGAGGAUUGCAGAGGAGACUGGAAUUCCCGGUGUAGCGGUGAAAUGUGUAGAGAUCGGGAGGAACACCGGUGGCGAAGGCGGGUCUCUGGGCAAUUCCUGACGCUGAGGCGCGAAAGCGUGGGGAGCAAACGGG